ACGAACGCUGGUGGGGUGCCUUAUACAUGCGAGUCGAACGAGCUCUCCCGAUUGAUUUUAUGCUUGCAUAAAUGAUUUUUGGAUUCGGAGCGAGUGGCGAACUGGUGAGUAACACGUGGGUAACCUGCCCCGAAGCGGGGGAUAACAUUUGGAAACAAGUGCUAAUACCGCAUAAUUAGUUGGAACCGCAUGGUUCCAACUUGAAAGAUGGCUCUGCUAUCACUUUGGGAUGGACCCGCGCCGUAUUAGUUAGUUGGUUAGAUAAAAGCCCACCAAGACGAUGAUACGUAGCCGACCUGAGAGGGUAAUCGGCCACAUUGGGACUGAGACACGGCCCAGACUCCUACGGGAGGCAGCAGUAGGGAAUCUUCCACAAUGGACGAAAGUCUGAUGGAGCAACGCCGCGUGAGUGAUGAAGGUUUUCGGAUCGUAAAACUCUGUUGUUAAAGAAGAACAAGUGUUAGAGUAACUGUUAACACUUUGACGGUAUUUAACCAGAAAGCCACGGCUAACUACGUGCCAGCAGCCGCGGUAAUACGUAGGUGGCAAGCGUUGUCCGGAUUUAUUGGGCGUAAAGCGAGCGCAGGCGGUUUUGUAAGUCUGCUGUGAAAGCCCUCAGCUCAACUGAGGAAGUGCAGUGGAAACUACAAAACUUGAGUACAGAAGAGGAAAGUGGAACUCCAUGUGUAGCGGUGAAAUGCGUAGAUAUAUGGAAGAACACCAGUGGCGAAGGCGGCUUUCUGGUCUGUUACUGACGCUGAGGCUCGAAAGCAUGGGUAGCGAACAGGAUUAGAUACCCCUGGUAGUCCAUGCCGUAAACGAUGAAUACUAGGUGUUGGAGGGUUUCCGCCCUUCAGUGCCGCAGCUAACGCAUUAAGUAUUCCGCCUGGGGAGUACGACCGCAAGGUUGAAACUCAAAGGAAUUGACGGGGGCCCGCACAAGUGGUGGAGCAUGUGGUUUAAUUCGAUGCUACGCGAAGAACCUUACCAGCUCUUGACAUCUUCUGCCAACCCAAGAGAUUGGGCGUUCCCUUCGGGGACAGAAUGACAGGUGGUGCAUGGUUGUCGUCAGCUCGUGUCGUGAGAUGUUGGGUUAAGUCCCGCAACGAGCGCAACCCUUAUUAUUAGUUGCCAGCAUUUAGUUGGGCACUCUAGUGAGACUGCCGGUGAUAAACCGGAGGAAGGUGGGGACGACGUCAAAUCAUCAUGCCCCUUAUGAGCUGGGCUACACACGUGCUACAAUGGAUGGUACAACGAGUCGCGAAACCGCGAGGUCAAGCUAAUCUCUUAAAGCCAUUCUCAGUUCGGAUUGCAGGCUGCAACUCGCCUGCAUGAAGUUGGAAUCACUAGUAAUCGUGGAUCAGCAUGCCACGGUGAAUACGUUCCCGGGCCUUGUACUCACCGCCCGU
Molecule: ribosomal RNA, 1409 nt
Filed under: uncultured Bacilli bacterium
Lineage: Bacteria; Bacillati; Bacillota; Bacilli
Description: bacterial SSU rRNA
Rfam family: Bacterial small subunit ribosomal RNA
Source: RNAcentral